CGGUUAAGUCGCUAACGAGCGCAACCCUCGCUGUGUGUUACAAGUGUCACACGGAACUGCCGGUCAUAAACCGGAGGAAGGUGGGGAUGACGUCAAGUCAGCAUGGCCUUUAUAUCCUGGGCUACACACACGCUACAAUGGGAAGGGACAAUAGGUUGCGAAGCCGCGAGGCGGAGCCAAUCCAGCAAAACUUCCCUCAGUUCGGAUUGCAGGCUGCAACCCGCCUGCAUGAAGUUGGAGUUGCUAGUAAACGCAGGUCAGCCAUACUGCGUUGAAUACGUUCCCGGGGCUU
This 292-nucleotide ribosomal RNA is filed under the name uncultured Anaerolineaceae bacterium. RNAcentral describes it as "partial 16S ribosomal RNA". It matches the Rfam family "Bacterial small subunit ribosomal RNA", at positions 1077 to 1382 of the family's 1533-position model. The record is from RNAcentral. Lineage: Bacteria; Bacillati; Chloroflexota; Anaerolineae; Anaerolineales; Anaerolineaceae.